This 108-nucleotide ribosomal RNA is filed under the name Acanthosepion pharaonis. The record is from RNAcentral. Lineage: Eukaryota; Metazoa; Mollusca; Cephalopoda; Sepiida; Sepiidae.
GCCGAAUCACGCUAAAACACCGGUUCCCGUACAAUCACCGAAGUUAAGCAACGUCGGGCCUGGUCAGUACCUAGAAGGGUGACCGUUUGGGAAUACCAGGUGCUGUAA